UACGUAGGGUGCGAGCGUUAAUCGGAAUUACUGGGCGUAAAGGGUGCGUAGGCGGUUCGUUAUGUCUGCUGUGAAAGCCCCGGGCUUAACCUGGGAAUGGCAGUGGAAACUGGCGGGCUUGAGUACUGCAGGGGAGACUGGAAUUCCUGGUGUAGCGGUGGAAUGCGCAGAUAUCAGGAGGAACACCGGUGGCGAAGGCGGGUCUCUGGGCAGUAACUGACGCUGAGGAGCGAAAGCGUGGGGAGCGAACAGG
This 253-nucleotide ribosomal RNA is filed under the name uncultured bacterium. RNAcentral's name for it is "partial 16S ribosomal RNA". It matches the Rfam family "Bacterial small subunit ribosomal RNA", at positions 524 to 776 of the family's 1533-position model. The record is from RNAcentral.